CAAGGCUGCUCAUGCAAGAUGUAGCUGGCAGGUACAGUAUGCCUCCAGGUUGGGGCAAGCUGAUGAAAAAUCACCUUGCAAAACACAAAGCAACCUUCUAAGGCAUGCCUUUGAACAGAGUAGUUAACAAUAAGUAGCUUUUCCCUGUCCUUUGUUUGUUUAACCACUGUAUGCUAUUUAUUGCAGGAGUGAUUCGUGAGAGUUACCUGAAGGGUCACGAUCAGCUGGUGCCGGUCACCCUGUUGGCCAUUGCUGUUAUUCUUGCUUUUGUCAUGGGGGCCGUCUUUUCGGGCAUCAUUGUGUACUGCAUCUGCGACCACCGCCGCAGAGAUGUGGCUGUUGUGCAGAGGAAGGAGAAGGAACUGACCCACUCCCGCCGUGGCUCCAUGAGCAGCGUUACCAAGCUCAGUGGCCUCUUUGGGGACGCUCAGUCCAAGGAGCCAAAGCCUGAAGCUAUCCUCACACCUUUGAUGCACAAUGGCAAGCUGGCUACCCCAGGUAGCACUGCCAAGAUGCUAAUCAAAGCUGACCAGCACCAUCUGGACCUGGCUGCCCUGCCAACCCCUGAGUCCACCCCAACCCUGCAACAGAAGAGAAAGCCCAGCCGUGGCAGCAGGGAAUGGGAGAGAAACCAGAACCUCAUCAAUGCCUGCACGAAAGAUAUCCCCCCAAUGGCCUCUCCUGUGAUCCCAACUGACCUGCCGCUCAGGGCUUCUCCUAGCCACAUUCCCAGCGUUGUGGUCCUGCCCAUAGCCCAGCAAGGCUACCAGCAUGAGUACGUUGACCAGCCAAAAAUGAGUGAUGGGGCUCAGAUGCCUGUGGAGGACCAGAACGCCACCCUUGAGUACAAAACAAUCAAGGACCAUCUCAGUAGCAAAAGCCCCAGCCAUGGGGUUAACCUGGUGGAAAAUCUUGACAGCAUGCCACCAAAAGUACCCCAGCGGGAAGCUUCCCUCGGGCCCCCGAGCGCCUCAUUGUCACAGAGUGGCCUGAGUAAGCGGCUGGAGAUACAUUCUUCUGCUUACAACGUGGACUACAAGAGAAGCUACCCUACAAACUCGUUCACAAGAAGCCACCAGACGUCGACCCUCAAAAGAAACAAUACUAACUCUUCUAACUCGUCCCACCUCUCCCGCAAUCAGAGCUUUGGCCGAGGCGACAACCCGCCGCCAGCCCCACAGCGAGUGGACUCCAUACAGGUCCAUGCUGCCCAGGCACAGGCUGUGACUGUAUCUCGGCAGCCAAGUCUUACCACCUACAAUUCGCUGACGAGGUCAGGGUUGAAACGCACGCCCUCGCUAAAGCCAGAUGUACCUCCCAAACCUUCCUUUGCUCCACUCUCCACGUCCAUGAAGCCCAACGAUGCAUGUACAUAA
RNA transcript from Nestor notabilis (Kea), 1376 nucleotides. It is a transcript of the gene named semaphorin-6A pseudogene, with no coding region annotated. The record is from RefSeq and is a predicted model, not a curated record. Lineage: Eukaryota; Metazoa; Chordata; Aves; Psittaciformes; Psittacidae. The transcript has a single exon.